UGGCUCAGUGGUAGAGCGCUUGCCUUGCAUGCCAGAGGCCCUGGGUUCGAUUUCUCAG
Non-coding RNA from Dipodomys ordii (Ord's kangaroo rat), 58 nucleotides. The record is from Rfam. NCBI's taxonomy places the organism in Eukaryota, Metazoa, Chordata, Mammalia, Rodentia, Heteromyidae.